CAGUCGCCGCGGGAAUACGGAGGGUGCUAGCGUUGUUCGGAUUUACUGGGCGUAAAGCGCACGUAGGCGGACUUUUAAGUCAGGGGUGAAAUCCCGGGGCUCAACCUCGGAACUGCCUUUGAUACUGGGAGUCUUGAGUUCGAGAGAGGUGAGUGGAAUUGCGAGUGUAGAGGUGAAAUUCGUAGAUAUUCGCAGGAACACCAGUGGCGAAGGCGGCUCACUGGCUCGAUACUGACGCUGAGGUGCGAAAGCGUGGGAAGCAAACAGGAUUAGAUACCCCUGUAUCCCUGUCUCUUAUACA
Molecule: ribosomal RNA, 301 nt
Filed under: uncultured bacterium
Lineage: Bacteria
Description: partial 16S ribosomal RNA
Rfam family: Bacterial small subunit ribosomal RNA
Source: RNAcentral